CCUACGGGGGGCAGCAGUAAGGAAUAUUGCUCAAUGGCCGAAAGGCUGAAGCAGCGACGCCGCGUGGGCGAUGAAGGUCUUCGGAUCGUAAAGCCCUUUUCUGCGUGACGAGCAAGGACGGUAGCGCAGGAAGAAGUCUCGGCUAACUACGUGCCAGCAGCCGCGGUAAAACGUAGGAGACGAGCGUUAUCCGGAAUUACUGGGCGUAAAGCGCGAGUAGGCGGCUUUUUAAGUGGUCUGUGAAAGCGUCCGGCUCAACUGGACGAGGCCGGAUCAGACUGGAAGGCUAGAGGGUCAGAGAGGCAGGCGGAAUUCCGGGUGUAGUGGUGAAAUGCGUAGAGAUCCGGAGGAACACCAGUGGCGAAGGCGGCCUGCUGGCUGACACCUGACGCUGAGGCGCGAAAGCAUGGGGAGCGAACGGGAUUAGAUACCCCUGUAGU
RNAcentral lists this ribosomal RNA (440 nucleotides) under uncultured bacterium. RNAcentral describes it as "bacterial SSU rRNA". It matches the Rfam family "Bacterial small subunit ribosomal RNA", at positions 338 to 794 of the family's 1533-position model. The record is from RNAcentral.